RNAcentral lists this long non-coding RNA (1621 nucleotides) under Prunus persica (peach). Its description in RNAcentral is "long non-coding RNA (PPER_LNC001641)". The record is from RNAcentral. Lineage: Eukaryota; Viridiplantae; Streptophyta; Magnoliopsida; Rosales; Rosaceae.
GUCAUUCAAAAUACUAAUCGACAAAAAGCAUAGUUGAAUCAAUAGUAAAUACCACUUUGGUUGGCCAAUUGGUUGACCUGAACUUAGCAUAUGCAGCAUUUAGUCAUUGACCAAUUGGUUGACCUGAACUUAGCAUACUUGCUUUCCCAUCAACUUCCCAUAAUGCGAUUAUAUGUAAUCGAAAGUCUAACGUAAUUCAAAUACCUGCCCUAAUUUCAAACAGUUUGCAAUUCUCAUUAAGUGGGCGAUAGCUUAAAACAAUUGGUAAGGAAUAAUAUUGUCAUGUGCACAAUCUCUACACUUUUUUAAAAAAAAAAGUGUCUAAAACACUAUUAAAGAAACAUCAAUUGACAUGAGUAUCAAUUAGUAUUCACAAAUAAAGUUUACAUUGACACUUUCCGAGUUCGUAGUAGGAAGGAAAAAUGGGCAAGGGAUUACAAUGGCCAACCCUAAUGAGAAAGGAGAAAUAUUGAAACAAGGAAGCAAACAAGUUCAACGUUUGUGUUUCACAAAAUUAAACAAGAUUGUGUUGUAAAGAAGAAUGGGUGAAGCCCACAUGCUCUAACAUUCAAACCAUACACCCACCAAAUCAAACCACACACCUACCAAACCAAACCACACACCUACCAAACCAAAUCACACACCCACCAAACCAAGCCAUUUGCUUUGCCUAUAAAUAGGCAUUAUAUUUGCUUGUAAUGAGGAGAUGAAAUGAGAGAAGAGGAAGAGAAGGAAGAAAGAGGGUGAGUGAGUUGAGAGGAAAGAGAGCAAGAGAGAAAUUCUCCAAGAGAGAAAAUUGAGUGAGCCAUACAUAUUGUAAACACUAAAGUUGUAGCCCUAUUAUUUUACAUAGUGGAAAAGUUACUACUGCUGCUCUCCGGGGACGUAGGCAUAGCCGAACCUCGUUAAAUACUGUGUCUCAUCUACUUUACGUGCAGCUCAAUAUUCGCACAUAUCCCAGUUAUUUUACAAUAGAUUGCACUUUUUUGGGUAAGUUUUCCACACCAAUAUGUACACACUACAUACGUUGUUUUUGCCAACCAACUAAACUCUAUGCAUCCCCAAAUGCCAAAUUCAACUCUUGUUCCUGUUGGCGUGACUUGUGGAUAUUGACUUACUUUCCUUACACACUAAGAAUUCCUAUUAUAAUUGUAAUUGAUUUACUUUAAUUCCUGAUUUCCUACUGCAAAUAGAUUUAGGAAUUUAUUAUUUACUUGCCCAUUCAGGUUUCGUUGUAUUAUAAAUAUGACCUCCUACAAGGAGAAGAAUACACAGAAAAUUCCCACAAACAAAUAUUCUCUCAUAGUUUUCAUAUUUUAGCAUGGUAUCAGAGCGGCGAUCUUGGAAUUGCUGACUCUAGUUUCAAACCACCGCCGCUGCUAUGGGGGUUGAUGAUUUUUUCAACCCUCAUGGAGGUAGCACCACCGACUCCUUCUCUCAUUCUCCACCAACCAUCAUUGAGUUGAGUGCCCAGAUGGCUCCACUCCUACAGAUGCAGACUUUGACCCUGAACCCGAUCCAGAAUCCGGAUCCUUUUUUGACGACCCCGACCUCGACCCUGACUAUGACGACGACGACCCCGACCCCGACCCCGACUAUGACGACGACGACCCCGACCCCG